CACGUAGGCACCAAGCGUUGUCCGGAUUUAUUGGGCGUAAAGAGCUCGUAGGCGGUUCAGUAAGUCGGGUGUGAAAACUCUGGGCUCAACCCAGAGACGCCACCCGAUACUGCUGUGACUUGAGUACGGUAGGGGAGUGGGGAAUUCCUGGUGUAGCGGUGAAAUGCGCAGAUAUCAGGAGGAACACCGGUGGCGAAGGCGGUUCUCUGGGCCUUACCUGACACUGAGGAGCGAAAGCGUGGGGAGCAAACAGG
RNAcentral lists this ribosomal RNA (254 nucleotides) under uncultured bacterium. Its description in RNAcentral is "partial 16S ribosomal RNA". It matches the Rfam family "Bacterial small subunit ribosomal RNA", at positions 524 to 776 of the family's 1533-position model. The record is from RNAcentral.